CCUACGGGAGACAGCAGUGGGGGAUAUUGCACAAUGGGGGGAACCCUGAUGCAGCGACGCCGCGUGGGUGAAGAAGCGCCUCGGCGCGUAAAGCUCUAUCAGCAGGAACGAGACAAGACGGUACCUGACUAAGAAGCCCCGGCUAACUACGUGCCAGCAGCCGCGGUAAUACGUAGGGGGCAAGCGUUAUCCGGAAUCACUGGGUGUAAAGGGAGCGUAGACGGCUGUGCAAGCCUGAAGUGAAAGGCGGGGGCCCAACCCCUGGACUGCUUUGGGAACUGUACGGCUGGAGUGCAGGAGAGGUAAGUGGAAUUCCUAGUGUAGCGGUGAAAUGCGUAGAUAUUAGGAGGAACACCAGUGGCGAAGGCGGCUUACUGGACUGUAACUGACGUUGAGGCUCGAAAGCGUGGGGAGCAAACAGGAUUAGAUACCCGAGUAGUC
RNAcentral lists this ribosomal RNA (441 nucleotides) under uncultured bacterium. Its description in RNAcentral is "partial 16S ribosomal RNA". It matches the Rfam family "Bacterial small subunit ribosomal RNA", at positions 338 to 795 of the family's 1533-position model. The record is from RNAcentral.